GUGGGGCAUAACCCGGGAAACUCGGCUUAUUCCCUAUAAGCCCUCACGGGGGAAAGCGGGGGCACCUUCGGGCCUCGCGCUAAUGGAUGAGCCUACGUCCGAUUAGCUUAUUGCAGGGUAAACGGGCCCUUACCAAGGUUAUCGAUCGGUACUGGUCUGAGAGGAUGGUCAGCCACACUGGGACUGAGACACGGCCCAGACUCCUACGGGAGGCACCAGUGGGGAAUAUUGGACAAUGGGCGCAAGCCUGAUCCAGCAAUGCCGCGUGUGUGAAGAAGGCCCGCAGGUCGUAAAGCACUUUCAGCAGGGAAGAAAAUCCCGGAGCGAAUACCUCCGGGCCUGACGUUACUUGCAGAAGAAUCGCACCGGCUAACUCCGUGCCAGCAGCCGCGGUAAUACGGGGGGUGCAAGCGUUAAUCAGAAUUACUGGGCGUAAAGCGCGCGUAGCGGCUUGGUAAGUCGGAUGUGAAAUCCCCAAGCUCAACUUGGGAACUGCAUUCGAUACUGCCAAACUAGAGUAUGGUAGAGGGAAGCGGAAUUCCCGGUGUAGCGGUGAAAUGCAUAGAUAUCGGGAGGAACACCAGUGGCGAAGGCGGCUUCCUGGAUCAAUACUGACGCUGAGGCGCGAGAGCGUGGGUAGCAAACAGGAUUAGAUACCCUGGUAGUC
RNAcentral lists this ribosomal RNA (667 nucleotides) under uncultured bacterium. Its description in RNAcentral is "bacterial SSU rRNA". It matches the Rfam family "Bacterial small subunit ribosomal RNA", at positions 136 to 795 of the family's 1533-position model. The record is from RNAcentral.